AUACGUAGGGGGCGAGCGUUGUCCGGAAUGAUUGGGCGUAAAGGGCGCGUAGGCGGCGCGGUAAGUCUGGAGUGAAAGUCCUGUUUUUAAGAUGGGAAUUGCUUUGGAUACUGUCGGGCUUGAGUGCAGGAGAGGUAAGUGGAAUUCCCAGUGUAGCGGUGAAAUGCGUAGAGAUUGGGAGGAACACCAGUGGCGAAGGCGACUUACUGGACUGUAACUGACGCUGAGGCGCGAAAGUGUGGGGAGCAAACAGGGUUAGAUACCCUGGUAGUCCACACUGUAAACGAUGAAUGCUAGGUGUAGGGGGUAUCGACCCCUUCUGUGCCGCAGUCAACACAAUAAGCAUUCCGCCUGGGGAGUACGGCCGCAAGGUUGAAACUCAAAUGAAUUGACGGGG
Molecule: ribosomal RNA, 397 nt
Filed under: uncultured bacterium
Lineage: Bacteria
Description: partial 16S ribosomal RNA
Rfam family: Bacterial small subunit ribosomal RNA
Source: RNAcentral